Molecule: ribosomal RNA, 449 nt
Filed under: uncultured bacterium
Lineage: Bacteria
Description: bacterial SSU rRNA
Rfam family: Bacterial small subunit ribosomal RNA
Source: RNAcentral
GUGGGGAAUCUUCCGCAAUGGGCGAAAGCCUGACGGAGCAACGCCGCGUGAAUGAAGAAGGCCUUCGGGUCGUAAAGUUCUGUCUUCAGGGACGAAUGCGUAUAUGCGAAUAGUUUAUACGUUGACGGUACCUGAGGAGGAAGCUCCGGCUAACUACGUGCCAGCAGCCGCGGUAAUACGUAGGGAGCAAGCGUUGUCCGGAAUUACUGGGCGUAAAGGGCGCGUAGGCGGGAACUUAAGUCAGAUGUGAAAACUCCGGGCUCAACUUGGAGACUGCAUUUGAAACUGAGUGUCUUGAGGGCAGGAGAGGAAAGUGGAAUUCCUAGUGUAGCGGUGAAAUGCGUAGAUAUUAGGAGGAACACCAGUGGCGAAGGCGACUUUCUGGACUGUACCUGACGCUGAGGCGCGAAAGCGUGGGGAGCAAACGGGAUUAGAUACCCCAGUAGUCC